Molecule: ribosomal RNA, 466 nt
Filed under: uncultured bacterium
Lineage: Bacteria
Description: partial 16S ribosomal RNA
Rfam family: Bacterial small subunit ribosomal RNA
Source: RNAcentral
GACGAACGCUGGCGGCGCGCCUAACACAUGCAAGUCGAACGAGCGAGCGAGAGCUUGCUUUCUCGAUCGAGUGGCGAACGGGUGAGUAACGCGUGAGGAACCUGCCUCAAAGAUUGGGACAACAGUUGGAAACGACUGCUAAUACCGCAUAAGCGCACGGCCCGGCAUCGAGCAGGGGGAAAAGGAGCAAUCCGCUUUGAGAUCGCCUCGCGUCCGAUUAUCUAGUUGGUGGGGUAACGUCCCACCAAGGAGACGAUCGGUAGCCGGACUGAGAGGUUGAACGGCCAGAUUGGAAAUGAGACACGGCCCAGAAUGAUACGGGAGGCAGCAGUGGAGAAUAUUGCAGAAUGGGGGCAAAAGUGGUGCCGCGACGUCGCGUGGAGGAAGAAGGUCUUCGGAUUGUAAACUCCUGUGGUUGGGGAAGAUAAUGACGGUACCCAACAAGGAAGUGACGGCUAACUACGUG